RNAcentral lists this ribosomal RNA (480 nucleotides) under uncultured bacterium. RNAcentral describes it as "partial 16S ribosomal RNA". It matches the Rfam family "Bacterial small subunit ribosomal RNA", at positions 28 to 523 of the family's 1533-position model. The record is from RNAcentral.
GAUGAACGCUGGCGGCGUGCUUAACACAUGCAAGUCGAGCGAUGAAGUUUCCUUCGGGAAACGGAUUGGCGGCGGACGGGUGAGUAACACGUGGGUAACCUGCCUCAUAGAGUGGAAUAGCCUUCCGAAAGGAAGAUUAAUACCGCAUAACGUUGAAAGAUGGCAUCAUCAUUCAACCAAAGGAGCAAUCCGCUAUGAGAUGGACCCGCGGCGCAUUAGCUAGUUGGUGGGGUAACGGCCUACCAAGGCGACGAUGCGUAGCCGACCUGAGAGGGUGAUCGGCCACAUUGGGACUGAGACACGGCCCAGACUCCUACGGGAGGCAGCAGUGGGGAAUAUUGCACAAUGGGGGAAACCCUGAUGCAGCAACGCCGCGUGAGUGAUGAAGGUUUUCGGAUCGUAAAGCUCUGUCUUUGGGGAAGAUAAUGACGGUACUCAAGGAGGAAGCCACGGCUAACUACGUGCCAGCCGCCGCCGUAA